UGUGCUCAUCCACCGACUUCUC
This 22-nucleotide non-coding RNA is filed under the name Arabidopsis thaliana (thale cress). Lineage: Eukaryota; Viridiplantae; Streptophyta; Magnoliopsida; Brassicales; Brassicaceae. The record is from RNAcentral.